CAGGACUGAACAGACCCCAAAGAGGGUUGUAGUUCCAUUGAGGUCUUCCAAAUGCCAGUAGAGAAAGGUGAACACGAAGCCAUAUCCAAAACCCAUGAACCAAGCCACAAACAGCACUGAGCCAUACUGCACGCUGCAGAGCAGCUUGAUUAAGUCCCAAAAGUUGAAGGCCUGCGAGUGGCUUGUGGUGGUUGGUGUCUCCUCAGAGGACUCUGUAGAGUUGUUCCUUUCCACCUGCGGGAUCUCCACCUCUUUCCCUUUAGAAUCAUCGUUUUUGAAAUGGUUGUAGCGGAACCGGAACUGAGUGGCAACGAUCAAGGCCAUGGUCAUGAGAACGCCGAAGACGAUGAAGACGAUCUGAUACUGGAGUGUGACCGUGUCUACGAU
Molecule: long non-coding RNA, 387 nt
Filed under: Homo sapiens (human)
Lineage: Eukaryota; Metazoa; Chordata; Mammalia; Primates; Hominidae
Description: HSALNT0044890
Source: RNAcentral